This 308-nucleotide ribosomal RNA is filed under the name uncultured Bacteroidota bacterium. RNAcentral describes it as "bacterial SSU rRNA". It matches the Rfam family "Bacterial small subunit ribosomal RNA", at positions 485 to 792 of the family's 1533-position model. Lineage: Bacteria; Pseudomonadati; Bacteroidota. The record is from RNAcentral.
AAUAAGCACCCGCUAACUCCCUGCCAGCAGCCGCGGUAAUACCGAAGGUGCAAGCGUUGUCCCGAUUUAUUGGGUUUAAAGGGUGCGUAGGCGGGUUUUUAAGUCAGUGGUGAAAGCCCUCCCCUCAACUGUGAAACUGCCAUUGAUACUGAAGAGCUUGAGUAUCGGUGAGGUAGGCGGAAUUGAUGGUGUAGCGGUGAAAUGCUUAGAUUCCAUAAAGAACACCUAUACCGUAGGCAGCUUACUAAACUAUAACUGACGCUGAAGCACCAAAGUGUGGGGAACGAACAGGAUUAAAUACCCUGGUA